AAACUUUCAACAACGGAUCUCUUGGUUCUGGCAUCGAUGAAGAACGCAGCGAAAUGCGAUAAGUAAUGUGAAUUGCAGAAUUCAGUGAAUCAUCGAAUCUUUGAACGCACAUUGCGCCCCUCGGCAUUCCGGGGGGCAUGCCUGUUCGAGCGUCAUU
RNAcentral lists this ribosomal RNA (157 nucleotides) under Cladonia coniocraea. RNAcentral's name for it is "5.8S ribosomal RNA". It matches the Rfam family "5.8S ribosomal RNA". From Rfam's summary of the family: 5.8S ribosomal RNA (5.8S rRNA) is a component of the large subunit of the eukaryotic ribosome. It is transcribed by RNA polymerase I as part of the 45S precursor that also contains 18S and 28S rRNA. Lineage: Eukaryota; Fungi; Ascomycota; Lecanoromycetes; Lecanorales; Cladoniaceae. The record is from RNAcentral.